GAUGAACGCUGGCGGCGUGCCUAACACAUGCAAGUCGAGCGAGAAGUAAAGAAAUGAAGCUUCGGUAGAUUUUCAUUAUGGAAAGCGGCGGACGGGUGAGUAACGCGUAGGCAACCUGCCCUGUACAGGGGGAUAGCCACCCGAAAAGGUGAUUAAUACCCCAUGAUGCAAGAGAUACACAUGUAUCACUUGUCAAAGAUUUAUCGGUAUGGGAUGGGCCUGCGUCUGAUUAGCUAGUUGGUAGGGUAACGGCUUACCAAGGCAACGAUCAGUAGCCGACCUGAGAGGGUGAUCGGCCACAUUGGAACUGAGACACGGUCCAAACUCCUACGGGAGGCAGCAGUGGGGAAUAUUGCACAAUGGGGGAAACCCUGAUGCAGCAACGCCGCGUGAAGGAAGAAGGCCUUCGGGUUGUAAACUUCUGUCCUAGGGGAAGAAAACAAAUGACAUUAC
This 453-nucleotide ribosomal RNA is filed under the name [Eubacterium] infirmum. RNAcentral's name for it is "bacterial SSU rRNA". It matches the Rfam family "Bacterial small subunit ribosomal RNA", at positions 28 to 478 of the family's 1533-position model. Lineage: Bacteria; Bacillati; Bacillota; Clostridia; Peptostreptococcales; Anaerovoracaceae. The record is from RNAcentral.